UACAGAGGGUGCGAACGUUGCUCGGAAUUACUGGGCGUAAAGCGCGUGUAGGCGGAACGGAAAGUCAGAUGUGAAAUCCCCGAGCUCAACUCGGGAACUGCACCUGAAACUUCCGAUCUUGAGUACUGGAGAGGGUGGCGGAAUUCCUGGUGUAGAGGUGAAAUUCGUAGAUAUCAGGAGGAACACCGGUGGCGAAGGCGGCCACCUGGACGGUUACUGACGCUGAGACGCGAAAGCGUGGGGAGCAAACAGG
This 253-nucleotide ribosomal RNA is filed under the name uncultured bacterium. Its description in RNAcentral is "partial 16S ribosomal RNA". It matches the Rfam family "Bacterial small subunit ribosomal RNA", at positions 524 to 776 of the family's 1533-position model. The record is from RNAcentral.